This 386-nucleotide ribosomal RNA is filed under the name uncultured bacterium. RNAcentral's name for it is "bacterial SSU rRNA". It matches the Rfam family "Bacterial small subunit ribosomal RNA", at positions 30 to 417 of the family's 1533-position model. The record is from RNAcentral.
AUUGAACGCUGGCGGCAUGCCUUACACAUGCAAGUCGAACGGCAGCACGGGGCAACCUGGUGGCGAGUGGCGAACGGGUGAGUAAUGCAUCGGAACGUGCCAUUGAGUGGGGGGAUAACGUAGCGAAAGUUGCGCUAAUACCGCAUAUUCUGUGAGCAGGAAAGCAGGGGACCGCAAGGCCUUGCGCUCUUUGAGCGGCCGAUGUCAGAUUAGCUAGUUGGUGAGGUAACGGCUUACCAAGGCGACGAUCUGUAGCGGGUCUGAGAGGAUGAUCCGCCACACUGGAACUGAGACACGGUCCAGACUCCUACGGGAGGCAGCAGUGGGGAAUUUUGGACAAUGGGCGCAAGCCUGAUCCAGCCAUGCCGCGUGAGUGAAGAAGGCCU